RNAcentral lists this unclassified non-coding RNA (284 nucleotides) under Cyperus polystachyos. Its description in RNAcentral is "partial external transcribed spacer 1f". The record is from RNAcentral. Lineage: Eukaryota; Viridiplantae; Streptophyta; Magnoliopsida; Poales; Cyperaceae.
UGGCAAACUCCGUGCGCUGCGAUGCACUAUGUGUGUCGGAACUGCUCGUNGGAUGUUUGCCGGUUCUCACGGAUAUCAGUCCCUACGUUGAGCGGUNUGCGGGCUUCAAGCCUGCAGCCUCAUGGUGCUGCCCAUGCGCAUGAAUCUGUUGCCGAUGUUUGCUCGAUGUGUUGAGCCCUUUCGGGAUCCAUGUUGAGGAAACGCCGGAAGUAGAUUUAUGUGUACGUGCAUAUCCUCACCGACCCGAACGACACGCGAUUGCCCGUCUGCAUUGUCACGGGGCG